UCCAGACUCCUACGGGAGGCAGCAGUGAGGAAUAUUGGUCAAUGGCCGUAAGGCUGAACCAGCCAAGUAGCGUGAGGGAAGACUGCCCUAUGGGUUGUAAACCUCUUUUAUGCGGGGAUAAAGGUGUCCACGUGUGGAUGUUUGCAGGUACCGCAUGAAUAAGGACCGGCUAAUUCCGUGCCAGCAGCCGCGGUAAUACGGAAGGUCCGGGCGUUAUCCGGAUUUAUUGGGUUUAAAGGGAGCGUAGGCCGGUUUUGAAGCGUGCGGGGAAAUUUUGGGGCUCAACCAUGGGAGUGCGCCGCGAACUGGAGACCUUGAGUGCGCGGAAGGCAGGCGGAAUUCGUGGUGUGGCGGUGAAAUGCUUAGAUACCACGAAGACCCCCGAUGGCGAGGGCAGCCCGCCGCAGCGUUACUGACGCUGAAGCUCGAAAGCGCGGGGAUCGAACAGGAUUAGAUACCCUGGUAUAC
Molecule: ribosomal RNA, 468 nt
Filed under: uncultured bacterium
Lineage: Bacteria
Description: bacterial SSU rRNA
Rfam family: Bacterial small subunit ribosomal RNA
Source: RNAcentral